CUGCUGCCUUCCGUAGGAGUUUGGGCCGUGUCUCAGUCCCAAUGUGGCCGGUCACCCUCUCAGGUCGGCUACUGAUCGUCGGCUUGGUGGGCCGUUACCUCACCAACUACCUAAUCAGACGCGGGUCCCUCCUAUACCACUAUCGUUUUUCACUCAGCGCCAUGCGGCUCCGUGCGCUUAUGCGGUAUUAGCAAUCAUUUCUAACUGUUAUCCCCCUGUAUAGGGCAGGUUACCCACGCGUUACUCACCCGUCCGCCGCU
RNAcentral lists this ribosomal RNA (260 nucleotides) under uncultured bacterium. RNAcentral describes it as "partial 16S ribosomal RNA". The record is from RNAcentral.